GACGAACCGAGCGAACGUUAUUCGGAAUCACUGGGCUUAAAGGGCGCGUAGGCGGGCGGUCAAGUCCGGGGUGAAAGCCCCCAGCUCAACUGGGGAAGUGCCUCUGAUACUGAUCGUCUCGAGGGAGAUAGGGGCGUGCGGAACUUCCGGUGGAGCGGUGAAAUGCGUAGAUAUCGGAAGGAACACCGGUGGCGAAAGCGGCGCGCUGGAUCUCUUCUGACGCUGAGGCGCGAAAGCCAGGGGAGCGAACGGG
This 253-nucleotide ribosomal RNA is filed under the name uncultured bacterium. Its description in RNAcentral is "partial 16S ribosomal RNA". It matches the Rfam family "Bacterial small subunit ribosomal RNA", at positions 524 to 776 of the family's 1533-position model. The record is from RNAcentral.